RNAcentral lists this small RNA (67 nucleotides) under Psychrobacillus sp. OK032. Its description in RNAcentral is "Bacillaceae-1 RNA". It matches the Rfam family "Bacillaceae-1 RNA". Lineage: Bacteria; Bacillati; Bacillota; Bacilli; Caryophanales; Bacillaceae. The record is from RNAcentral.
GACAGAGGAAAGAAAGCUAAGUACGUCACAUCGUGUGGCAACGCCUUCGUGACCAACAUCCUCUUGG